Molecule: long non-coding RNA, 1130 nt
Organism: Melospiza melodia melodia
Lineage: Eukaryota; Metazoa; Chordata; Aves; Passeriformes; Passerellidae
Exons: 2
Source: RefSeq, a predicted model, not a curated record
CUCUCCCCUCAGCCCGGCCUGCCCUCCGCUCCGCUCUCCCCCAGCCCAGCCAGCGCUCCGCUCUCCCCUCAGCCCAGCCUGCCCUCCGCUCCGCUUUCCCCCAGCCCGGCCCGAGCUCCGCUCUCCCCUCAGCCGGGCCUGCCCUCCGCUCCGCUCUCCCCUCAGCCGGGCCUGCCCUCCGCUCCGCUCUCCCCUCAGCCCGGCCCGCGCUCUGCUCUCCCUUCAGCCCGGCCUGCCUUCUGCUCCGCUCUCCCUUCAGCCCGGCCUGCGCUCCGCUCCGCUCCCCUCAGCCCGGCCCGCUCUCCGCCCCACCUCCCCCGCCAGGAACGGGCCGCAGCCGCACGCUGGGAAGGAGCUUUUAUUGAGAGCAAAGCCGCGUCACAUGCUGGAGCGCCGCGGAGCCAACAAGCGCGGUGGGCACGGCCCCGCUCCCGGCGCAGGUGAAGGGACACAGUGGUCACCCAAAUCCACAGGACUCGCUGCCCAGAGCAUCCAGCCGCCCCUCGGUACCACAUCAGCAGCUGCACGAGUUAGGGCAGGGAGGGGAUCCGGACCAGCGUAUUUACUACACUCACGACUUUUCAUCUGCACUGUGAAUAAACACGGGAGAGCGCCCUGCCCACACCUGGCACCAGGGCUUUGGGAAGCGUGCGGGAUGGAGAGCAGCGGCAUAGCAGAACCCUCACUGGGAUGGGACCGGUGCCCCCAGGCUGCAGAACAGACCACUGUACUUAGGAAUGCUCAGAUUUUGUCUAAGUGACAGCACAAGCCCAUCCUACAAGUGACCCCAGCAAUCAGCCAUCGACUGUGCCCUCCACAUGCAAGUUAAGAAGCAGCCCUGGGCAGCCGUGUCCCAGCAGUGUGACCAGCUGAGCUCCCUGGGCACAGGCAGUGCAACAGCACACAGCAGGUUUAGCUGGCAUUUUCUCUACUGCUUGCUGAAAAGCCUUCUAAAAAUAAAGCAGACUGCAACAAAACAAAACACUAAAAGAUUUUCACAAGGCAGUACUAUAAUCUUUUAAAUUUUAAGAUAAAGUUAAAUUUCAUACAAAUAAACUUCCAAAAAUAUUUUGCAAACUCUGGCAUAUGGCUAUGAUACAGUAUGUACAAAUAAAAUGUCAGAAUGGUUA